RNAcentral lists this ribosomal RNA (604 nucleotides) under uncultured bacterium. RNAcentral's name for it is "bacterial SSU rRNA". It matches the Rfam family "Bacterial small subunit ribosomal RNA", at positions 97 to 728 of the family's 1533-position model. The record is from RNAcentral.
GGCGGACGCGUGAGUAACGCGUGAGAAUCUGCCCUCAGGAGGGCGAAAACGGCUGGAAACGGCCGCUAAUACCCCAUAUGCCGCGAGGUGAAAUGCAAUUCGCCUGAGGAUGAGCUCGCGUCUGAUUAGCUACUUGGUGUGGUAAAGGCGCACACAAGGCAUCGAUCAGUAGCUGGUCUGAGAGGAGAUCAGCCACACUGGGACUGAGACACGGCCCAGACUCCUACGGGAGGCAGCAGUGCGGGAAUUUUCCGCAAUGGGCGAAAGCCUGACGGAGCAACAGCCGCGUGAGGGAUCGAAGGCCUCUGGGCUGUAAACCUCUUAUUCUCAAGGAAGAAGAUCUGCACGGUACUUGAGGAAUAAGCCACGGCUAAUUCCGUGCCAGCAGCCGCGGUAAUACGGGAGUGGCAAGCGUUAUCCGGAAUUAUUGGGCGUAAAGCGUCCGCAGAGCGGCCUUGUAAGUCUGUCGUUAAAGCGUGGAGCUUAACUUCCAUUUCAGCGAUGGAAGCUGCGACGCUUGAGUGUGGUAGGGGCAGAGGGAAAUCCCGGUGUAGCGGUGAAAUGCGUAGAUAUCGGGAAGAACUCCAGUGGCGAAGGCGCGCUG